Gossypium raimondii (Peruvian cotton) is the source of this 145-nucleotide non-coding RNA. The record is from Rfam. Lineage: Eukaryota; Viridiplantae; Streptophyta; Magnoliopsida; Malvales; Malvaceae.
UGUUAAAAAAAUUAUUUAUUUGUAUUGUUAAAAACUGAUGUAACUGAUGGAAUAAUCAGACAGAGACAUGUAGCAUGUCAUGUGUACCUCAUGCUGACGUAUAGAGACUAAUUUUUAAAAGUAGAUAUCGAUGGAUUUUUUAAUA